This 423-nucleotide ribosomal RNA is filed under the name uncultured bacterium. Its description in RNAcentral is "bacterial SSU rRNA". It matches the Rfam family "Bacterial small subunit ribosomal RNA", at positions 384 to 793 of the family's 1533-position model. The record is from RNAcentral.
UGAUGCAGCCAUGCCGCGUGUGUGAAGGAAGGACCUUCGGGUUGUAAAGCACUUUCAGUAGGGAGGAAGGUAGUGUAGUUAACACCUGCAUUAUUUGACGUUACCUACAGAAGAAGCACCGGCUAACUCCGUGCCAGCAGCCCGCGGUAAUACGGAGGGUGCGAGCGUUAAUCGGAAUUACUGGGCGUAAAGCGCAUGCAGGCGGCCUGUUAAGUCAGAUGUGAAAGCCCCGGGGCUUAACCUCGGAAUUGCAUUUGAAACUGGCAGGCUAGAGUCUUGUAGAGGGGGUAGAAUUUCAGGUGUAGCGGUGAAAUGCGUAGAGAUCUGAAGGAAUACCAGUGGCGAAGGCGGCCCCCUGGACAAAGACUGACGCUCAGAUGCGAAAGCGUGGGGAGCCAAAACAGGAUUAGACUACCCUGGUAG